UUUCGCAUAUACAAAUAGUAUAAAAUAAUACAAUAAUAUACAAUACAAAAUAGAAUUCGAAAAAUACUAAAUACAAAUUUCCACACUAGCUUUAGCUAUGGCUAUGUCGUUGGUUCUAUAUACUCUUAUUUAUAUUGCGUUAAUUAUUUUUGUUUUCAAACUAUUUUCCAUUUCUCAACAUUUUAUAUGGGAAAGUAGAAACUAUAUAAUUCUCAAUCCCAUCGUUGAUCGUUUUAAACCUAGCAUUAAGAGGAGAAUCUUUUGUAGGCCCCUAUAUGUUACGUAACACGCGCUCAAAACUAAUGAUAUACCUUUCCACUUGGUUACAUAGAACUAUAUAUUAGUCAAAUUUUAAAAUCAGUGUUGAUAAGUUUCUCAAGUGGCAAACAAACUUAGAAAGUAUGUUUAGUGCUUUAUCUGUAAAAUAAUGCUAAAAUGAAAAGAUUUUAGAUGGCACGCCAAAGAGAAAAUGAUGUCUGAAGUUCAGUAAGUUUUGCUUAUAUUGCUGUAUAAAUAUGGCGUCAAUAAUGGACAUUUGCAUUAUAGACUAAUUUUGAUCUAGACAAAAAUUUCAUCACAGCUUGAAAGAGCAUCACAAAAUUAGUAAUAUUCC
Paramuricea clavata is the source of this 613-nucleotide non-coding RNA. The record is from the annotation of a GenBank genome assembly. Lineage: Eukaryota; Metazoa; Cnidaria; Anthozoa; Malacalcyonacea; Plexauridae.